CAGAAGCAGCAGCAGCACGAAUGUGUAGUCCUGUUCAGCUCCCUAGCACACAUAGCAAUGAUUGAUAGUAAUGAACCCUGAAUGAAGCUAUAAACAUCCCUCCAUGAUGCUAUAUAAUACAUAUGGCGGCCGCAGCAGAGUAACUUUAAAAUAUAUAAUUAUUAUUGCCAGCCACCCAAGCAAAUGAAUCCAGAUAGUAGUGGUAGUAGUAGUAGUACCUAUACCUCUGUUUUGUCAUCUUCACAGAGCAGGGUAUGUAUGCAUUUUGUAUGUAUGUAUGAACUAGGUGAUGAUAACAACAACCUCAUCUAUUAUCAAGCGGAGACCAUGCACAGGAUGCUGCUCGGAGAUGUGCACACGUACAUAUGUGGUAUAUGUGGUGCAGACACGUAUGCUGUACCUUAUAUACGUUGAUGACGGCACACGUGCACACUCUGUCGUACAAGGAUAUUAUAUACCUAGAGAACAUACAUAUGUGGAGGGAGGGACAGGCACAGGGAGACGAUGGCGAUGGGGACAGCAGAUACAGAUACAGACGGCGAGACUGAGCGGAUGACUGUCGAGGGAGACUGUGGGAGAGUUUUUAUUAAAUUCUUAGACUGUGGGUGGGUGGGUGUAUGUAUGUAUGUAUGUAUGUAUGUAUGUAUAUCCGCGCACUGCACUUGCGAUGUAUGUUGUUGGUCUGUCUGUUGGGUUGUUGUUGUACAUGUCGUACUGUACGUGAUACUACUUUAUAAUUAGUAGUAGUACACAUACGCAGCAGCAUAUGAUGGCUCCGCGGGUAUGUGGAUAUUAUGGGACACGCGCAUGCACGACGGUGUGGCGAUGAUGCACCCACGUAGUAGUUGUACAUAUUGUUGUUGUUGUUGUUGUUGUUGUUGUUGUUGUUGUUGUGUAUGCUCUUUUUUCCCUUCUCGUCGGACACACGAUCUCUCUCUAUAUGCAUAUCUACACCAACACAAUCAAACAAUGCUGCUGUAUCUACUUGGCACGAUUUGGCACAUAUGUAAAGUAUAANNNNNNNNNNNNNNNNNNNNNNNNNNNNNNNNNNNNNNNNNNNNNNNNNNCAUACGAUAGAAACUUUUAUAAAAAAUGUGCCGUCGCCCUAAUUGUUUUUAAUUUUCCUCCCCUCCCCCCCCCCAGCCAGCAGGUGAAAAGCAGAGACAUGGCUAGGAUGAGCCAAGCGCCAGCGCCAGUGCCCGUGCUAGUGCUUAGGGUUUAAGCACAGAUGCCGUGGCGUGUGGGGGGGGUGCUUUUGAUGACGAAGGCCGUGACGUGCGGCAUGCUGCCGAUGCUGCCGAUGCUGGCCUGCUACCCGCUGGCGCUGCUACGGGGCCGACCCGUGGGUCAUCACAGCGACCCAUCUUUUGCCAGCCCUGCACUGCCGCCGCGUCACCUUUAGAGCUGGCGCAUGCGUUAGACGGCGCCGUCAUGAGUCCCCUCGCGGCGGCGUGGAUGCUGGGACUGUACGACGGCAUUGACGAGAUGGCGAUAUGAUGACGAUGGUGGCGAUGACGGCCAGCUGCAUCAGGCCAACAGCAGCACAGCCAUCAGCUGCCGAUGAUGAUUAUAAUGAUGAUGCUGGCGAUUGCAAUUGGUACAUAGAGAUUGGAAGGGGUUUGUGGAGUAUUUUUGUUGUUGUGGGGUUUGUGAAAGGUUUUUUUUUCCAUUGUUGAGGUCUGUUGGGUGUAUUAUAUUUUACUACGACACGGAGAGGAAGGGUGGAUAUUAUUAUACGAGGUUUUUGAGGCGUUUUGUGUUUUCGGGGUACUUUAUUACUCUAGAUAUAUACGAGGUUUUCUUUUGGGUCUGGGAUAAUAUAUUAUAUUAUAUGAGGAGGUACAAAGUACGAGGUGAUUGGGUUUUGGGGUAGUAGAGCAGGGACAAGGGACAACGUAAUUUUAAAAUUGUGUGGUUGAGGUUCGGGGGGUUUUUGGGAGGUGUGUUUGGUUGGGUACGAGAUAUAUGAUGAGGUGUUCGGGGUUUGGGCGGCUUUGAGAGGUGUCUUUUUUGAGAGGGGGGUACAAGCGUUUUUUGGGGGUACGCGGUACUAUACAUAUAGGUGUUCGGGGGUGGGAGGACACAAGCUGCACGCGCGUGUACGGUGUGUAUAUGUGUGUACGCGGCAGGGAGGGGGCAGGGCGAGGGUAUAUAAUGAUGUGACCGUGAAUGGGGGUGAGGAGGGCGGUUUUGGUGGAUGUGGCUGGAGACACACGCACGUGUGUGUGCGCGCAUGUCUCCAGACACCCACCAAAACCCCCACCUCACCCCCAUGCAUGCGUGCGUGCGUGUGUGUGCGCGCACGCACGCGCACAUAUCCCGCACACGCACAUAUCCCGCACACGCACAUAUCCCGCACAGUUGGCACAGCUAUUGUGUAUCAGCAGAAGCAGCAGCAGAAGCAGCAGCACGAAUGUGUAGUCCUGUUCAGCUCCCUAGCACACAUAGCAAUGAUUGAUAGUAAUGAACCCUGAAUGAAGCUAUAAACAUCCCUCCAUGAUGCUAUAUAAUACAUAUGGCGGCCGCAGCAGAGUAACUUUAAAAUAUAUAAUUAUUAUUGCCAGCCACCCAAGCAAAUGAAUCCAGAUAGUAGUGGUAGUAGUAGUAGUAGUACCUAUACCUCUGUUUUGUCAUCUUCACAGAGCAGGGUAUGUAUGCAUUUUGUAUGUAUGUAUGAACUAGGUGAUGAUAACAACCUCAUCUAUUAUCAAGCGGAGACCAUGCACAGGAUGCUGCUCGGAGAUGUGCACACGUACAUAUGUAUAUAUGUGGUGCAGACACGUAUGCUGUACCUUAUGUACGUUGAUGACGGCACACGUGCACACUCUGUCGUACACAAGGAUAUUAUAUACCUAGAGAACAUACAUAUGUGGAGGGAGGGACAGGCACAGGGAGACGAUGGCGAUGGGGACAGCAGAUACAGAUACAGACGGCGAGACUGAGCGGAUGACUGUCGAGGGAGACUGUGGGAGAGUUUUUAUUAAAUUCUUAGACUGUGGGUGUGUGUAUGUAUGUUGUUACAGGGUGGUUAACUUCGCCAGCGGCCCCCUUUCCCGGGGCAGUCCCUGCUCUCCCCUGCUAGAGGGGCACCCUAAUCC
RNAcentral lists this long non-coding RNA (3098 nucleotides) under Volvox carteri. RNAcentral describes it as "long non-coding RNA (VCAR_LNC003389)". Lineage: Eukaryota; Viridiplantae; Chlorophyta; Chlorophyceae; Chlamydomonadales; Volvocaceae. The record is from RNAcentral.